Long non-coding RNA from Dreissena polymorpha, 2053 nucleotides. RefSeq lists it as uncharacterized. NCBI's taxonomy places the organism in Eukaryota, Metazoa, Mollusca, Bivalvia, Myida, Dreissenidae. The transcript is spliced from 3 exons. The record is from RefSeq and is a predicted model, not a curated record.
AAAUAAUAUAAUCCAAUCAAUCAGCUCUUAGGUUAGACGCCACUUGGUGUUUGGUGCUCGAUGGACGUUGUGAGGAUUAGUAAGUAUAACGGGAUCUUAUCGGGUGAUGCUUGAUGGUGCUUGGUCUGUUCGACGUGUAUGGAUGAUCAGACCAAAGUUGGGGUAUGUCAAAGGAUGAACUAUGUACAUGUGCGUCAGGGGGUAGAGGGACAUGUGACAGGGGAGCAGUGAAUACAGCAUCGAUAUAUAACUUCUGGCAAGCAACGAGGACUGUGUUUUAGACAUCUAUAGCAUCUACGUUCACAAAUCAUUCGUUGCUAACAGUUCUGAUUUAAAGAGACAUCAUUAAACAAGAAAAAGAGAAAUAAAAUAAAGUAAAAAAGAGCAAUAACAAUAAUAAAAAUGGAACAAAUACAAUGUACAAUUGAUCAUACACAGUUCCAUACAUACAAUAUGAUAACAAGGUGAGGACAAAAAACACUAAGAUUCUUACUUGUUUUUUCUAAGUUCCAUAGCAUUGUAUAUAUAUUUUGCUGUAGUUCGUACUUUACUUAAUUUCUUUUCAUACAUAAUGUAUUUGAAUUUCAUAAUAUUUGGCCAGUUUGAUGAAAUGUUAUAAUCUUUUCUCAGAUCUGAAUAGGCAGUACAACAUAAUAAAAAGUGUGUUCCGAUUCAACAACAUUUUGCAUACAAAGUUUACAUAUUCUGUUUGACCUUUCUAUAUUGUUAUAUCUACCAGUUUCAAUCUCAAGGGAAUGUGAUGAAAGUCUGAAACGGGUUAGUUCGUUAUGAUGUUUUUCAUUUUUUAUAUUAACUAGAUCAUUUUCAAACUCGAAAUCUUCUUUAAAUUUACAAAAGUAUUCCAUUUUAGGUUGUACUGAUAGUGCUUCGUGCCAUGACUGAAUGUAUUGGUCUUUUAGUCUUUGCGAAAACAUUGGAAGUGAAUAAUCGCUCAUAGUAAAAUCUAAAAGAAGAUUACGUAAACCAAGCUUGUGACGCAAAGUAGAUAGGGAAGAAAAUCACAAACUAUUCAAAUCACUAAUGCGAUUCUCUUGAGCAAAGUUAAUUUGUUUCAUCAAAGUUUCAUGCAUUAAAGAGUUUGGUGAGUUGAAAAUCUUUAGCCAGUACUUAAUUGAUAUUUCUUUACAAAUGGUUGUUAACGGAAAUCUUCCAAGCUCACCAAGGACAGCAGCAUUUAUGGUUUGUUCUUUUACGCCUAGAACAUAUUUACAGAAUUUGAUAUGCAGCUUGUCUAAGUCAGUAAAAUUGUAAAUUCUCCAAACUUCCGCUCCAUAUAGCAAAAUAGGGACUACAAGUGCAUCAAAAAGUGAAAGCUUUGUUUUAAUAUUUAAGGAAACUCUACUAACAAUCGACAGCAAGUGGUUGUACGCCUUCAGGGCUUGAUCAUUCAAAAAAUUUACUUUAUGAUUUAAUUUACCAUUUGACGAGAAAUUAAUGCCUAAAUAGCAAAAGUUAUCGACCACUUCAAGAAUCUCAUUGUUAAUAGUCCAACGAAAGUUACAAAUGCUUUUCCUUUUUUCGAAGAUGCAUAUUUUUGUUUAAUUUGAAUUAAUCUUUAAACCCCAUUUUCAUGAAUAUUGAUAUAGAGAAUUGAGUUGAUUUUGUAGACUGCCAGGAUCAGUGGUAAAUAAGGCAAUGUCGUCCGCAAAUAAUAACAUAAAAAGCGAUAAGAUAUCUAAAUCGUUCUGCAUUAGGUUAUUAUAUUCAAUUAUCUCUGUGACGUCAUUUAUGAACAUAACAAACAGAAGAGGGGAUAAUGGCUCUCCUUGCUUGACACCGAGUGAAAUUUCAAAAAAGUUUGAGUACGACAUAUCAGAAGAGUUUUUAAUACACGCUUUUACAUUACUAUAAAUAGAUUUGAUCAUAUUAAUCAUUUUAGAGCUUAUUCCUAAUUGUAUUAAUUUUACCCAUAAUGCAUCAUGGAUUACUGUAUCAAAAGCCUUUUCAUAGUCUACAAAUGCACAGUAUAACUUAUGUUUUUUUAAGAGUGUGAUUUGUAUGAGUGAAUGAAGUAUAAAAAUACAGUCAGCCG